GGGCCUGCGUUUCAUUAGCUAGUUGGUAGGGUAAUGGCCUACCAAGGCAACGAUGAGUAGCUGGUCUGAGAGGAUGAUCAGCCACACUGGAACUGAAACACGGUCCAGACUCCUACGGGAGGCAGCAGUGGGGAAUAUUGCGCAAUGGGCGAAAGCCUGACGCAGCAACGCCGUGUGAGGGAUGAAGGCUUUCGGGUCGUAAACCUCUGUCGGAAGGGAAGAACGGGCAUUGGUCUAAUAGGCCUUUGUUUUGACGGUACCUUUAGAGGAAGCACCGGCUAACUCCGUGCCAGCAGCCGCGGUAAUACGGAGGGUGCAAGCGUUAUUCGGAAUUACUGGGCGUAAAGCGCACGUAGGCGGCCUUGUAAGUCAGGGGUGAAAUCCCACGGCUCAACCGUGGAACUGCCUUUGAAACUGCAGGGCUUGAAUCCUGGAGAGGGUGGCGGAAUUCCUGGUGUAGGAGUGAAAUCCGUAGAUAUCAGGAGGAACACCGGUGGCGAAGGCGGCCACCUGGACAGGCAUUGACGCUGAGGUGCGAAAGUGUGGGGAGCAAACAGGAUUAGAUACCCUGGUAGUCCACGCUGUAAACGAUGAACGCUAGGUGCCGGG
RNAcentral lists this ribosomal RNA (609 nucleotides) under uncultured sulfate-reducing bacterium. Its description in RNAcentral is "bacterial SSU rRNA". It matches the Rfam family "Bacterial small subunit ribosomal RNA", at positions 227 to 827 of the family's 1533-position model. The record is from RNAcentral.